CAAUGCUUCUGCAAAGCAAAUA
RNAcentral lists this microRNA (22 nucleotides) under Magallana gigas (Pacific oyster). RNAcentral describes it as "Mgi-Mir-33_3p* (star (passenger))". The record is from RNAcentral. Lineage: Eukaryota; Metazoa; Mollusca; Bivalvia; Ostreida; Ostreidae.